This is a small nuclear RNA of Fusarium oxysporum f. sp. cubense, 200 nucleotides long. It matches the Rfam family "U2 spliceosomal RNA". Rfam says of the family: U2 is a small nuclear RNA (snRNA) component of the spliceosome (involved in pre-mRNA splicing). Complementary binding between U2 snRNA (in an area lying towards the 5' end but 3' to hairpin I) and the branchpoint sequence (BPS) of the intron results the bulging out of an unpaired adenosine, on the BPS, which initiates a nucleophilic attack at the intronic 5' splice site, thus starting the first of two transesterification reactions that mediate splicing. The record is from Rfam. Lineage: Eukaryota; Fungi; Ascomycota; Sordariomycetes; Hypocreales; Nectriaceae.
CCUUCUUCUUUGCCGUAAGGCUCGGAUCAAAGUGUAGUAACUGUUCUUGUUGAGGCUAACCCCUCAACACGGGUCGUAUACUGGCUCGAUACUGCUCUAAUUUUUUGGAUUAUUGGUGAUGGCUCAACGGCGCUUGCGUGGUUGAAUCGUUUCCAGGGUGUCCUUGGUAUUACACUGUCUCCAAGCGAUGCGCACAUGUU